AAGGAUCAUUACCGAGUGAGGGUCUUUAAUGGCCCAACCUCCCAACCCCUUGAAUAUCACCAAGUGUUUUAUUGUUGCUUCGGUGGGUCAAAUGUGCCCACCGACGCCCAACAUAAAUCUUAGUAAUAGUGUUGUCUGAGUUAUUGAAAAUAAUAAAAACUUUCAACAACGGAUCUCUUGGUUCCC
Molecule: unclassified non-coding RNA, 186 nt
Filed under: uncultured fungus
Lineage: Eukaryota; Fungi
Description: partial contains 18S rRNA, ITS1, 5.8S rRNA, ITS2 and 28S rRNA
Source: RNAcentral